GAGAGGAUGUUUCCACUAGUGGGAGAGUCUAGGACUAGAGGCCACAGCCUCGGUAUAAAAGGAGGUACCUUU
This is a long non-coding RNA of Amblyraja radiata (thorny skate), 72 nucleotides long. RefSeq lists it as uncharacterized. The record is from RefSeq and is a predicted model, not a curated record. Lineage: Eukaryota; Metazoa; Chordata; Chondrichthyes; Rajiformes; Rajidae. The transcript is spliced from 2 exons.